AGCUGUGUUGGCACCAAGCCCCGCCCCCACCACACGGCAGAUCGAUCCUCUCUACAAAGCUUCGCUGGAUGAAUGGCAGGCUCUAAAACAUACUCACCUCUUUGUAGCCGAAGACAAUGCGACCGUCUUGGUGAAGGGCCGCCUGGAAGGUGAAGCUGCCCUUGUCCUCGCGGCCCUGGAGGUGAGAAGACAGCACAGGGAAGAACGAAAAGUGGCUGCCUGCCUGUAUGACUGUGGGCCGAGGGCUCCCGGGAAGCGGUUAGACUAGGCACCCCCACCCCAGUGCUGGGUGCUGUGGUGAUCCACAUCGGGAAUCCCAGCUCUUCAGGAGGCUGAGGUGGGGGCACCAUGACUUCAAGGCAGCUCCAGCCAACACUGAAACUCAAAAAACCAUCAAGCUCCUCUCACAAUGGGGACAACCAUGGGUCCCUUGUGGAGGACAGAUGGGGUUCAGGGACAGAGUCCCUUCCAUCUCACCACCAGUACCUGAAAGAUACAAGAUGGCUGGCUUGUAUCCUGGUCCGUGGAUUACAAGAUCUUCUCCUUAACCGCUGAGGGGCCAUACAUACUUCAGGAUGGCUGGGCCUGGGCAGCCUGCCCCCCGCCCCCGUUUGCAAGGAUGUGUGGCCCAUGCCCAGUUGCAGCUGUCUCCCUAGAAGGCCACCUGGGACAUUUUGAUUCAACACCCCCUUCCCCAGCAGAAACCUGACAUCGCCCUCCCCAGUGGAAACCCGACAUCUCCCUCCCUAGAGGACAGACUUCUCCCUCCCCAGUGGAAGCCGAUCAUCCAUUGCUUCUGCAGCUUAACCCAGGAGACACUGGUCCACAGACAGGAGGGGUAAUGGCCCUCUGCUUCCAGCUCCAGCACACACAUUUACGCGUGUCAUGACUGAAGAACUGCAAUGAGACAGGAACCGAGUGACCCCAGAGAGACCCAGUAAGCAGCUCUGACGCCCAACAGUGGUCUAGUGACCUUCUCUGUGACAUCGCUAGGGUGGCUGCUAGGAACUGAAGGGACCCUACAUGGAACAGCCUUCCCUAUGGGGUGACCAGAAGAAAGACUUCCAGGCGGAGCCCUUGCAGCCCUUCACUAAA
Mastomys coucha (southern multimammate mouse) is the source of this 1095-nucleotide long non-coding RNA. RefSeq lists it as uncharacterized. The record is from RefSeq and is a predicted model, not a curated record. The transcript is spliced from 6 exons. NCBI's taxonomy places the organism in Eukaryota, Metazoa, Chordata, Mammalia, Rodentia, Muridae.